RNAcentral lists this ribosomal RNA (778 nucleotides) under uncultured Neocallimastigales. RNAcentral describes it as "partial large subunit ribosomal RNA". It matches the Rfam family "Eukaryotic large subunit ribosomal RNA", at positions 26 to 641 of the family's 3401-position model. The record is from RNAcentral. Lineage: Eukaryota; Fungi; Neocallimastigomycota; Neocallimastigomycetes; Neocallimastigales.
CGCAUCUGUGCAUGCAGCAUAUCAAUAAGCGGAGGAAAAGAAACUAACAAGGAUUCCCCUAGUAACGGCGAGUGAAGCGGGAAGAGCUCAAAUUUGAAAUCUUAAAGGGUUUCCCCUUACGAAUUGUAGUUUAAAGAAGUGUUUUCUGUUGAGGUUUUGGUAAAAGUUCUUUGGAAUAGGACAUCAUAGAGGGUGAGAAUCCCGUAUUUGACCUUUACUUUCAACUUUGUGAUACACUUUCAAAGAGUCGGAUUGUUUGGGAAUGCAGUCCAAAAUAGGGUGGUAAAUUUCAUCUAAAGCUAAAUAUUGGCGAGAGACCGAUAGCGAACAAGUACCGUGAGGGAAAGAUGAAAAGAACUUUGAAAAGAGAGUUAAACAGUACGUGAAAUUGUCAAAAGGGAAGCGUUUGACACCAGUGUUGUUUUUUCUGAAAAUCAAUUAAAGAACUGUUUAUGCUAAGCUGUUUAGACUUUAUCAGCUAAUCUGUUUAGUUUUAGAGCUUUUCUUUAAUGCACUUUUCAGUUAACAAGUCAACAUCAAUUUCUUUUGCUGUAAAAAAGCUUGAGGAAGGUGGCUUGAGAUUCGUCUUAAGUGUUUAUAGCCUCUUGCCUAUGCAGUCGGAGAGAUUGAGGUCUGCAGCGUAGAUCCUUCGGGGCUAAAUGCAUUUGUGCUAAGUUAUAACAUUUUAUAGACAACUUGUUGACUAUGAUUUGUCUUGUAGCUUACUCGCUUAUGUUAUUUUACCUACGCUUAGGAUGUUGAACGCGCACAGAGUCUC